CGUCCCCUUUCCCCGCUCCCGGGGCCGCGCGCCCGCCGCUCCUCGGCAUCACGCGCCUGCUGUUCCGGCGUCCCGGGCCCCGCGCGUCUGCUGUUGCCGUGAGCUCACCCAUCCCACAGGUCAAGGCCUCCCACCCUUGCUCCGCCCUUUCGGGUAGCCUGGUCGCCUCCAGGCCUAGAGGGAUCACCUAUGGAACCCCCGGAUCACGGUACCUACCGCGAAGACCCGAUCAGGUGGCGUGUGGCGCCUUCCACAGCCUCGCCCUGCGCUCCUGCAGCGUCCAACUACCGCCCCCCGCCCCCCAACCCCAGCACAGGCUUUUGGAUAUCACCCUCGAAAAUCCCUUCAAUUGCACCUAAAGUCCAGCGUACACGGGAUCAGGGGUAGUCAGGACUCGCUAAAUAAUUUGCGUGGCCCAGUGAAAAGUGAAAACGUGGCGCCCCUUAUUAAAAAAAGACUGCGAAUUUUCAAAAGUCGAUAUCAGAGCGUUAAACCGAAACCCCGGGGCCCCUCUAAGUUAAGUGUCGGGCCCUGCCGCCAGCCCGUGAAGCUGGCCCUGAUUUCAGUGCACUAUCUCUCUCUCUGCCCGAGGGUUUUUCCCCAGCGCCGGGGCAAAUCCAGCUCCUUCUGUUGGAUACCAGAUCAGGCUUCAAGACUUCAUCUUGUCCUCCAGGAAGACUUCCUUGAUGCCCAUAGCUGGGUAAG
Molecule: long non-coding RNA, 705 nt
Organism: Aethalodelphis obliquidens (Pacific white-sided dolphin)
Lineage: Eukaryota; Metazoa; Chordata; Mammalia; Artiodactyla; Delphinidae
Exons: 2
Source: RefSeq, a predicted model, not a curated record